Molecule: long non-coding RNA, 345 nt
Filed under: Androctonus crassicauda
Lineage: Eukaryota; Metazoa; Arthropoda; Arachnida; Scorpiones; Buthidae
Source: RNAcentral
AGGAUGUUAGGCAAACUUAUAUGAUGGACAUUAAUUCCAUCUCUUUGAAAUUUAAAAAGAAGCUUGAGAAACUUUCCGGCCAUAAAAUCAUCUUUAAUAGAAGAAAAACACAUUUCAAUCGUAUUAAGAAUGAUAAAGAUAAAAAUUAAUGACAUGUACUUCCCUGGAGUGUACCAAAUACCUCUCUAUGAUAGUGACACAGAUACUAAUGCGAACUAUAUUGGUUUUACAGCGCGCUCACUGAAGAGAUGCAUCAAAGAACAUAAAAAAGAUGUAGAGAGCAGGGCGGCUACUGCUGCUUUGGUGCAGUGUGCGCUCACUUCUGACUUGGACGUGGAUUGGAAC